CUAUCUCAAUGGUUGGAUAAC
This 21-nucleotide small nuclear RNA is filed under the name Arabidopsis thaliana (thale cress). RNAcentral describes it as "snRNA_12311". Lineage: Eukaryota; Viridiplantae; Streptophyta; Magnoliopsida; Brassicales; Brassicaceae. The record is from RNAcentral.